GACGAACGCUGGCGGCGUGCUUAACACAUGCAAGUCGAACGGAAAGGCCCUGCUUUUGUGGGGUGCUCGAGUGGCGAACGGGUGAGUAACACGUGAGUAACCUGCCCUUGACUUUGGGAUAACUUCAGGAAACUGGGGCUAAUACCGGAUAGGAGCUCCUGCUGCAUGGUGGGGGUUGGAAAGUUUCGGCGGUUGGGGAUGGACUCGCGGCUUAUCAGCUUGUUGGUGGGGUAGUGGCUUACCAAGGCUUUGACGGGUAGCCGGCCUGAGAGGGUGACCGGCCACAUUGGGACUGAGAUACGGCCCAGACUCCUACGGGAGGCAGCAGUGGGGAAUAUUGCACAAUGGGCGGAAGCCUGAUGCAGCAACGCCGCGUGCGGGAUGACGGCCUUCGGGUUGUAAACCGCUUUCGCCUGUGACGAAGCGUGAGUGACGGUAAUGGGUAAAGAAGCACCGGCUAACUACGUGCCAGCAGCCGCGGUGAUACGUAGGGUGCGAGCGUUGUCCGGAUUUAUUGGGCGUAAAGGGCUCGUAGGUGGUUGAUCGCGUCGGAAGUGUAAUCUUGGGGCUUAACCCUGAGCGUGCUUUCGAUACGGGUUGACUUGAGGAAGGUAGGGGAGAAUGGAAUUCCUGGUGGAGCGGUGGAAUGCGCAGAUAUCAGGAGGAACACCAGUGGCGAAGGCGGUUCUCUGGGCCUUUCCUGACGCUGAGGAGCGAAAGCGUGGGGAGCGAACAGGCUUAGAUACCCUGGUAGUCCACGCUGUAAACGGUGGGUACUAGGUGUGGGGUCCAUUCCACGGGUUCCGUGCCGUAGCUAACGCUUUAAGUACCCCGCCUGGGGAGUACGGCCGCAAGGCUAAAACUCAAAGGAAUUGACGGGGCCCCGCACAAGCGGCGGAGCAUGCGGAUUAAUUCGAUGCAACGCGUAGAACCUUACCUGGGUUUGACAUGGAUCGGGAGUGCUCAGAGAUGGGUGUGCCUCUUUUGGGGUCGGUUCACAGGUGGUGCAUGGCUGUCGUCAGCUCGCGUCGUGAGAUGUUGGGUUAAGUCCCGCAACGAGCGCAACCCUUGUUCACUGUUGCCAGCACGUUAUGGUGGGGACUCAGUGGAGACCGCCGGGGUCAACUCGGAGGAAGGUGGGGAUGACGUCAAGUCAUCAUGCCCCUUAUGUCCAGGGCUUCACGCAUGCUACAAUGGCUGGUACAGAGAGUGGCGAGCCUGUGAGGGUGAGCGAAUCUCGGAAAGCCGGUCUCAGUUCGGAUUGGGGUCUGCAACUCGACCUCAUGAAGUCGGAGCCGCUAGUAAUCGCAGAUCAGCAACGCUGCGGUGAAUACGUUCCCGGGGCU
RNAcentral lists this ribosomal RNA (1346 nucleotides) under uncultured bacterium. RNAcentral's name for it is "partial 16S ribosomal RNA". It matches the Rfam family "Bacterial small subunit ribosomal RNA", at positions 28 to 1381 of the family's 1533-position model. The record is from RNAcentral.